AUAGAAGAACAGUCCCUUACAUGAACACAAUAAACACAAGGACUCAAACAAUAGAAGAACAGUCCCUUACAUGAACACAAUAAACGCAAGGACUCAAACAAUAGAAGCAGCAGACAGACAUUACUGAUCAUAAACAGGUGGGCACAUAUCUUUAAUAACUAAACAUGUUCUGCUGCUGUGUUGUUCCCCACAGAAUACAAGGAAUCAAUACUCAGUUUAAAGUCAUCAUAACAUGAUCGAUAGCUUUUCCCAGAGCGCUUGCAUUAUGAAUAUAAUAUAAAAUCUGCUUUACAUCAUGUUAGGCUUAUCAAAAUAUAAACUGAUAUCAGAGCCCCGCAGUAUGAAACUGUUAACGUCUGAAAAUAGACACAAUAUUGUAGUAUAAAAAUGUUAAAAUUGACCAUCAAUGAAUAAUUAAAAUACAUCUGACAUUAGAAAUAUAAUCUUUGUAAAACCUAUUAAGUUAACCUGAU
This is a long non-coding RNA of Gadus macrocephalus (Pacific cod), 473 nucleotides long. RefSeq lists it as uncharacterized. The transcript has 2 exons. The record is from RefSeq and is a predicted model, not a curated record. NCBI's taxonomy places the organism in Eukaryota, Metazoa, Chordata, Actinopteri, Gadiformes, Gadidae.